CAGACAAAUCCAUAGACAGAAAAAGUAUACUAGUUGUUGCCAGGAGCUGGGGGGAAGGGAAGGACAGGGGAGUCACUGCUCAUGGGUACAAGGUUUCUUUCAGGAUGGUGAAAAUGAAAAUGUUCUAAAAUUGACUGUGGUGGCUGACAGUUAUACAACCCAGUGACUACAAUAAAAACUACUGAACUGUAUAUUAAAAAGGUUUCAGAAGGAGCCCCUGCUACCCAGUGGUGGAUUAACAUAGACCCACUGGAUAGAUAGCCAUGCACCCAAAGAACAAGAUCUCUGCGAAAGGCUAUCCAUGCCAUAACAUUACUUUCCCUAACAAAUGGACACCUCUCUGGUCCAGGUUCUAGCAAACCUAGCCCCUGCUAUCUCAAAGAGUACUCCAUUUACCUCUUAGGCUGGUCUCCUUUAGCCAGGUGAGAAGAGCUCUGCCUUUCUUCCUGGGCCCAGCCACAGUUUGACAUAGCAUAUCGAAGAAUGGCAUCAGACACAGUCAUGGUGCUUCGGCCCUGGACACAGGCUUCUAUCUCAGGCACCGAAAGCUGGCUUUGCAGGAAGAGGUGCAACUGACUGUCUGACAAGAGAACCACACUCUGCAGGACCCUGGGGAAAACACAGGUAGCACGACACAGAGCAUCACCCUGAGGAACUGCUCUCCAUUCUCCGUCCUCUGAAGGGCUUCUGGCUACCUGAGCAGGGAGUUCCAUCCUGCCUGGUGCCUUCCUCCACCCACCCUUGCCUCCACACUCAGGGGCCAGUGCCAGCCUGUUAAGUCCACUCACUUUUCAAGGAAGUGCUGUAGACCUUGUCGUCGCUUCUCAAUAAACUCAUCUGAGGUGCCAAAGAAGGUUGACUUCCCAGGAAGUUCAGGUACAGGCCUGUGGAGCCACAUGAUAUAACACCCAUGAUAAGUGUAACAUCUAAGAUAGUCAUUCUAGCCUCAGAUCAAGGAAACACCCUGAAAAGAGGCCUAGUCAAUACAAUUAGCUUUUAAUAAAGGGUUGUGUUAACAUUGA
This is a long non-coding RNA of Sapajus apella (tufted capuchin), 1022 nucleotides long. RefSeq lists it as uncharacterized. The record is from RefSeq and is a predicted model, not a curated record. The transcript is spliced from 2 exons. Lineage: Eukaryota; Metazoa; Chordata; Mammalia; Primates; Cebidae.